This 413-nucleotide ribosomal RNA is filed under the name uncultured bacterium. RNAcentral's name for it is "bacterial SSU rRNA". It matches the Rfam family "Bacterial small subunit ribosomal RNA", at positions 505 to 916 of the family's 1533-position model. The record is from RNAcentral.
GUGUCAGCAGCCGCGGUAAUACGUAGGUGGCAAGCGUUGUCCGGAAUUAUUGGGCGUAAAGCGUGCGCAGGCGGUUUCUUAAGUGUGAUGUGAAAUCCCCGGGCUUAACUGUGGGGCUGCAUUGCAAACUGGAAGACUUGAGUGCAGGAGAGGAAAGUGGAAUUCCUAGUGUAGCGGUGAAAUGCGUAGAGAUUUGGAAGAAUACCAGUGGCGAAGGCGUCUUUCUGGUUUGAAACUGACGCUGAGGAGUGAAAGCAUGGGGAGCAAAAAGGAUGAGAUACCCUGGUAGUCCAUGCCGUAAACGAUGAGUGCUAAGUGUUAGGGGGUUUCAGUCCCUUAGUGCUGCAGCUAACACAUUAAGCAUGCCGCCUGGGGAGUACGGCCGCAAGGUUGAAACUUAAAUGAAUUGGCGG